GACGAACGCUGGCGGCGUGCCUAAUACAUGCAAGUAGAACGCUGAAGAGAGGAGCUUGCUCUUCUUGGAUGAGUUGCGAACGGGUGGGUAACGCGUAGGUAACCUGCCUUGUAGCGGGGGAUAACUAUUGGAAACGAUAGCUAAUACCGCAUAACAAUGGAUGACACAUGUCAUUUAUUUGAAAGGGGCAAUUGCUCCACUACAAGAUGGACCUGCGUUGUAUUAGCUAGUAGGUGAGGUAAUGGCUCACCUAGGCGACGAUACAUAGCCGACCUGAGAGGGUGGUCGGCCAACCUGGGACUGAGACACCGGCCAGACCCCCUCGGGGGGCAGCAGUAGGGGAACUUUCGGCAUUGGGGGAACCCUUGCCGGGCAAAGCCGCGGGGGUUGAGGAGGGUUUCCGGUCGGUAAAGUCUGGUUUUAGGUAAAGAACGGGUUGGGGAUUGAAAGGUCACACUUGUACGGUAGCUUAACAGAAAGGGACGGCUAACUACGUG
Molecule: ribosomal RNA, 497 nt
Filed under: uncultured bacterium
Lineage: Bacteria
Description: partial 16S ribosomal RNA
Rfam family: Bacterial small subunit ribosomal RNA
Source: RNAcentral